RNAcentral lists this ribosomal RNA (677 nucleotides) under Inocybe nitidiuscula. RNAcentral's name for it is "eukaryotic LSU rRNA". It matches the Rfam family "Eukaryotic large subunit ribosomal RNA", at positions 1 to 653 of the family's 3401-position model. The record is from RNAcentral. Lineage: Eukaryota; Fungi; Basidiomycota; Agaricomycetes; Agaricales; Inocybaceae.
UUGACCUCAAAUCAGGUAGGACUACCCGCUGAACUUAAGCAUAUCAAUAAGCGGAGGAAAAGAAACUAACAAGGAUUCCCCUAGUAACUGCGAGUGAAGCGGGAAAAGCUCAAAUUUGAAAUCUGGYGGUCUCUUGACCGUCCGAGUUGUAAUCUAGAGAAGUGUUACCUGUGCUGGACCGUGUACAAGUCUCCUGGAAUGGAGCAUCAUAGAGGGUGAGAAUCCCGUCUUUGACACGGACUACCUGUACGUUGUGGUGCGCUCUCGAAGAGUCGAGUUGUUUGGGAAUGCAGCUCAAAACGGGUGGUAAAUGCCAUCUAAAGCUAAAUAUUGGCGAGAGACCGAUAGCGAACAAGUACCGUGAGGGAAAGAUGAAAAGAACUUUGGAAAGAGAGUCAAACAGUACGUGAAAUUGCUGAAAGGGAAACGCUUGAAGUCAGUCGCGUUGGCUAGGAAUCAGUCUUGCUCUUGCUUGAUGUACUUUCUUGUCGACGGGUCAGCAUCAAUUUUGACCAUUGGAAAAAGGCUUUGGGAAUGUGGCAUCUUUUUUAGAUGUGUUAUAGCCCACUGUCGUAUACGGUGGUUGGGAUUGAGGGACUCAGCACGCCGCAAGGCCGGGUCAUUUUCGACCACGUUCGUGCUUAGGAUGCUGGCAUAAUGGCUUUAAUCGACCCGUC